RNAcentral lists this ribosomal RNA (573 nucleotides) under Triticum aestivum (bread wheat). RNAcentral describes it as "partial small subunit ribosomal RNA". Lineage: Eukaryota; Viridiplantae; Streptophyta; Magnoliopsida; Poales; Poaceae. The record is from RNAcentral.
AUGAAAAUGACUAGUUGGAACUGUCGAGGGUUGGGUCGUCCUCAGACAGUGCAAGAGCUUGUGUGUCUCACAAUGACACACCGACCCAAUGUUAUCUUUCUUUCCGAAACAAGGCAGAAUAAGAGUGUGGAGAGUUUGCGUUAUCGUUUGGGUAUGAAAAAUGUUUUCACUGUUUCUGUGCCAGGCAAAGGUGGUGGAUUAGCGGUAUUUUGGGAUGAUCUGUACACAUUGGAGUUGAACAAAUAUGUUGAACACUUCAUCGACAUGUAUGUAUGCAAUGAUGCUGGAAGUAAAUGGAGAAGCACAUUCGUCUAUGGGGAACCAAAGGAGAGCCAAAGGUAUGUGAUAUGGGAUUUGUUAAGACGAAUAAAACCACUUGGGGCUGGACCGUGGUUUAUGGUUGGUGAUUUUAAUGAGGCAAUGUGGCAAAAUGAGCAUUUUUCUCAGACCAGCGAGCUCACAAACUUAUGGCUAAUUUUCGCCAAGUUCUAUCCGAUUGCGAUUUAUUUGAUUUGGGGUUCAAUGGUGUUCCUUGGACUUACAACAAUAAACAGGAAGGUAAUAAAAAUGUGA